AGUAAUAGCGUGAUUCUUUUAGAGUCCAAGCUUUCAUUCCCAGAUCUUAAACUAUUAUGUUUUACUAGGUUGAUGAAGAUAAGGAUCUAUCCGUCACGGCAAGUGUAGAAUUGAAAAGAUUGUUCCCAAAGAAAAAGAUAAACAAGAUUAAAGAGAUGAGUUUAUCUGCAAACCAAGAAAGAGAGGAAAUGGAGAAGAAAAGACUAAAGUGGAAAGCAGAAGCUCCUAAUGAUUCGCCAGUCGUGCCAAGAGGGAAACCCGUUGAUCCUACAAAGCUGGUGGUAGAGCUUGCCCCAAUGGAAAUCCGCACCUUUGUUAUCGAUCUCAGCCAGAGUUUGUCAGCUUCAGAAGUUUGGAAGUCACAUAUGUCACUAUAAUAAGCAGUCCCCUACUAGAGUUCAUACAAAAGGCAAAGACACCAAAUGGUAUGAACCAACUUUGAAACCUAUUUGCCUAUGUUGAUCCUUGAGGAUGCAGCAUCAAGUCUGUUGUCAUAAGAUGUGUUAUCCUUUUUGUAAUGAAAUAAAAACCUCUUCGGCAGAAUAAAAAAAAUAGUGUUGAAGAGAACGAUUUCAUGUCUUAAUGUUACGCGGUGCCUUCCUGAGAUUCCUGGGAAGGGCGACGUAAGCUAUGCAACCGAUGUCCGUGUAAUUA
Nicotiana tabacum (common tobacco) is the source of this 654-nucleotide non-coding RNA. The record is from RefSeq and is a predicted model, not a curated record. NCBI's taxonomy places the organism in Eukaryota, Viridiplantae, Streptophyta, Magnoliopsida, Solanales, Solanaceae.